Ananas comosus (pineapple) is the source of this 385-nucleotide long non-coding RNA. RefSeq lists it as uncharacterized. The transcript is spliced from 2 exons. The record is from RefSeq and is a predicted model, not a curated record. NCBI's taxonomy places the organism in Eukaryota, Viridiplantae, Streptophyta, Magnoliopsida, Poales, Bromeliaceae.
CAAUGAAGCAACAGGCAAGAAAUACGAAGACAAACAAUUGCAUGAUCGCUUCAAUUUUUAUGAAUGUGAAUAUGGAAUAGUGCGCAACAUCAAGCAUCAUCCAGAGUUUAGCUGGGAUCAUCAACGUCAAGUAGUAAUUGCCACAGAUGCUAAAUGGAAUAAAUAUAUUAAGGGAAAUCCCAGUGCGAAGCCCUAUCGAAGGAGAGAAGUACCAAAUAUUAAUUUAUAUGAAAUUGUGUUUGAGAAAAAAAAAAAUACUGUGAUUUCCAAUGAGUGACUCUCUUGAAAUAAAAAUAGUGUUGUAAUCUCUUCGUUCUCUAGCUAUGAGAUCUCAACAUUCUCACAAUAAUCUCGCCUCUUGACCGAGGCAAACAUUGUUACACUA